AUCCCCAUCUAAAUGCUGGAGCGAGGAGUUAAAUUAUUCCAGAAGGCCCGCCAGGGUCUGAUUUGCCACUGUCUGCUUCCUCGUUGCCUUUGAAUGGGACCCUUGAUCCAAGGCUUUCAGAGACCAGCCGGUGCUGAUGGGGGUCCGUGACUUGGCGGUGGCGCCUGCUUGCUCCUUCUCUGUCUCGAGCAUGGUUUUCUAUCCUGCCGGGGAGGGCGAGAGCGCUGGGCAGAGGUGGCACCUGACCCGCUAGAACUCCGAUGUCACUGCUGUGGCUGUUACUCCCCUCCGCAAGAGUCAAGGCGCACGCAGGACGAUGGCUACAUCGCUCAUUCUGGAUGCUGCCAGAUCAUUCCCACCACCUGCCAUUGUGUUGUCUCCAGACAACGGCAGACAACCACAGAAGCUUCGAAGCCCUAAGGCUACUUGGAGAGAAGAAGACUGUCCCUGGCAAAGACUCCUUCCUUGCCAUCUGGAUCUCCCAGCUUCCCCCCGAAGAGUAGAGAUAGAAGGAGCAAGCAGAUCUUCUAAAGGUAGACACCACUACACCCAGCAUUGCCGGUCUUUGAAAUUAAACACGGAUUUAACAGAUUGCUAA
This 598-nucleotide long non-coding RNA is filed under the name Rattus norvegicus (Norway rat). RNAcentral describes it as "long non-coding RNA NONRATT027588". Lineage: Eukaryota; Metazoa; Chordata; Mammalia; Rodentia; Muridae. The record is from RNAcentral.